UACGAAGGGUGCAAGCGUUACUCGGAAUUACUGGGCGUAAAGCGUGCGUAGGUGGUGGUUUAAGUCCGUUGUGAAAGCCCUGGGCUCAACCUGGGAACUGCAGUGGAUACUGGAUCACUAGAGUGUGGCAGAGGGUAGUGGAAUUCCCGGUGUAGCAGUGAAAUGCGUAGAGAUCGGGAGGAACAUCAGUGGCGAAGGCGACUGCCUGGGCCAACACUGACACUGAGGCACGAAAGCGUGGGGAGCAAACAGGAUUAGAUACCCUGGUAGUCCACGCCCUAAACGAUGCGAACUGGAUGUUGGGUGCACUUUGGCACGCAGUAUCGAAGCUAACGCGUUAAGUUCGCCGCCUGGGGAGUACGGUCGCAAGACUGAA
RNAcentral lists this ribosomal RNA (376 nucleotides) under uncultured bacterium. Its description in RNAcentral is "bacterial SSU rRNA". It matches the Rfam family "Bacterial small subunit ribosomal RNA", at positions 524 to 898 of the family's 1533-position model. The record is from RNAcentral.